GAUGAAGAACGUAGCGAAAUGCGAUAAGUAAUGUGAAUUGCAGAAUUCAGUGAAUCAUCGAAUCUUUGAACGCACAUUGCGCCCGCCAGUAUUCUGGCGGGCAUGCCUGUCCGAGCGCCAUUUCAACCCUCGAACCCCUCCGGGGGGUCGGCGUUGGGGAUCGGCACUUACCUGCCGGCCCCGAAAUACAGUGGCGGUCUCGCCGCAGCCUCUCCUGCGCAGUAGUUUGCACACUCGCACCGGGAGCGCGGCGCGUCCACGGCCGUAAAACAACCCAAACUUCUGAAAUGUUGACCUCGGAUCAGGUAGGAAUACCCGCUGAACUUAAGCAUAUCAAUAAGCGGAGG
Molecule: unclassified non-coding RNA, 347 nt
Filed under: soil metagenome
Description: partial contains 5.8S ribosomal RNA, internal transcribed spacer 2, and large subunit ribosomal RNA
Rfam family: 5.8S ribosomal RNA (bases 1-120)
Source: RNAcentral